This 873-nucleotide ribosomal RNA is filed under the name uncultured bacterium. RNAcentral describes it as "bacterial SSU rRNA". It matches the Rfam family "Bacterial small subunit ribosomal RNA", at positions 8 to 877 of the family's 1533-position model. The record is from RNAcentral.
AGAGUUUGAUCAUGGCUCAGAUUGAACGCUGGCGGCAUGCCUAACACAUGCAAGUCGAACGGUAGCAGGCCUUCGGGUGCUGACGAGUGGCGGACGGGUGAGUAAUGCGUAGGAAUCUGUCUUUUAGUGGGGGACAACCCAGGGAAACUUGGGCUAAUACCGCAUGAGCCCUGAGGGGGAAAGCGGGGGAUCUUCGGACCUCGCGCUAAGGGAAGAGCCUACGUCUGAUUAGCUAGUUGGUAGGGUAAAGGCCUACCAAGGCGACGAUCAGUAGCUGGUCUGAGAGGACGACCAGCCACACUGGGACUGAGACACGGCCCAGACUCCUACGGGAGGCAGCAGUGGGGAAUUUUUCGCAAUGGGGGCAACCCUGACGAAGCAAUGCCGCGUGGAUGAAGAAGGCCUUCGGGUUGUAAAGUCCUUUCGUGGGGGACGAAAAGGUGGUUCCUAAUACGAGCUGCUGUUGACGUGAACCCAAGAAGAAGCACCGGCUAACUCCGUGCCAGCAGCCGCGGUAAUACGGGGGGUGCAAGCGUUAAUCGGAAUCACUGGGCGUAAAGGGUGCGUAGGCGGUACGUUAGGUCUGUCGUGAAAUCCCCGGGGCUCAACCUGGGAAUGGCGGUAGAAACCGGCGCACUAGAGUAUGGGAGAGGGUGGUGGAAUUCCAGGUGUUGCGGUGAAAUGCGUAGAGAUCUGGAGGAACAUCAGUGGCGAAGGCGGCCACCUGGCCCAAUACUGACGCUGAGGCACGAAAGCGUGGGGAGCAAACAGGAUUAGAUACCCUGGUAGUCCACGCCCUAAACGAUGAAUACUAGAUGUUUGGUACCUAGCGUACUGAGUGUCGUAGCUAACGCGAUAAGUAUUCCGCCUGGG